This 305-nucleotide ribosomal RNA is filed under the name uncultured bacterium. RNAcentral's name for it is "bacterial SSU rRNA". It matches the Rfam family "Bacterial small subunit ribosomal RNA", at positions 336 to 634 of the family's 1533-position model. The record is from RNAcentral.
UUCCUACGGGACGCAGCAGUAGGGAAUCUUCCACAAUGGGCGAAAGCCUGAUGGAGCAACGCCGCGUGGGUGAAGAAGGUCUUCGGAUCGUAAAACCCUGUUGUUAGAGAAGAAAGUGCGUGAGAGUAACUGUUCACGUUUCGACGGUAUCUAACCAGAAAGCCACGGCUAACUACGUGCCAGCAGCCGCGGUAAUACGUAGGUGGCAAGCGUUGUCCGGAAUUAUUGGGCGUAAAGAGUACGUAGGCGGUCUGUUAAGCGCAAGGUGAAAGGCAUAGGCUCAACCAAUGUGAGCCUUGCGAACU